RNAcentral lists this long non-coding RNA (225 nucleotides) under Elaeis guineensis (African oil palm). RNAcentral's name for it is "long non-coding RNA (EGUI_LNC026535)". The record is from RNAcentral. Lineage: Eukaryota; Viridiplantae; Streptophyta; Magnoliopsida; Arecales; Arecaceae.
CAGCAGCUGAAUGGUCUACGUAGCACGAAAAAAAUACGUCUCUUAGCCAUCAACUUGGCCAUCUGACGUCGCAUUUAAUAAGACAAGAUAUACCGGGAGCGAACAUCGUGUAUUUAAUGUAUGGAAGUAGCCCUGUCUGCUGAGACAUUGGCCCGGUCUAUCUCAUCCGGGAAGUGGAAUCCCCAACGAGAGCGAUCUCAUACGGGGGCUGUUGAAGUUGAAGAC